This 605-nucleotide long non-coding RNA is filed under the name Arachis ipaensis. RNAcentral describes it as "long non-coding RNA (AIPA_LNC000223)". The record is from RNAcentral. Lineage: Eukaryota; Viridiplantae; Streptophyta; Magnoliopsida; Fabales; Fabaceae.
UGCGGAGGUAUGAAUAAUAAUAAGGUGAUGCGGAAAUAUUUGUAUAGUUAAGCAGUAUUGCGGAGGUAUGAGUAUGUAAUUGGUAAUGUGGAGGAAUAAUGAAAAGUCAUGAAUGGAAUAAACAACUGAAGUAGAUUAUGAUUUAUGAAAAUGAAAUGUGAAUGGGCCUUUGUGCCGAAGCGCUAAUGCGGAAGUGCCCGCCUAACUGAUAGCUUGAGAUUGCUAAUGCGGGAAUGUCCAUCUAACUGAUAGCAUAUUGUAUGUUGAAUGGGCCUUUGUGCUAAAUUGCUAAUGCGAAAGGGCCCGCCUAACGGAUAGCCUGAGAUUGCUAAUGCGGGAAUGUUCGCCUAAUUGAUAGCACUGUUUCUUACUGUGAUACACAUUAUUAUGAUGAGGCCUAAUUGACACGAGUAAUUGUGAUGCCAAGGUGUCUAAUUGACACAGUAGAGAAACCAUAUUCGGCGUUCGCUCCGAGUAAUGUCGGGUUGCGGGUAGACAACCGACGCAUGAGCUCAUGGCCUGCUUAGGAGAGACAUGCAUCAUAUUGAUUGCGUAUUUGCAUUUGGUCUUGUUUUGCUUGUUAUAUUUUCUCUGUGAUUGUGCUG